This 71-nucleotide small nucleolar RNA is filed under the name Leishmania infantum JPCM5. RNAcentral describes it as "Trypanosomatid snoRNA TB11Cs5H3". It matches the Rfam family "Trypanosomatid snoRNA TB11Cs5H3". The record is from Rfam by way of RNAcentral. Lineage: Eukaryota; Euglenozoa; Kinetoplastea; Trypanosomatida; Trypanosomatidae.
CGCACAGUUCGAAGGCCGUCACCCCCCUGUACUGCAUCUUAGGGUGCUUUCGGUUCAAAGGCUGUGCCAGA